CCCCUAGAAACACCCAACAAGUUGAACUUUCCGAAUAUUCCUUCCCCACUGAACUUUUAAGCUCUUCACUCAAAGGUCUCAAAAAGCUGACUCUAAAUGAAGUUCUUGUGGACUCUCAGUCAGUUGAAAGUUUACUCUUGAGCUGCCCCCUUCUUGAACUAUUAUCUAUCACACGGUCUUAUCUAUUAGUACAUUUGAAAGUUGUUGGUCCUUCCCUCAAGUUGAAGCAUUUGGUGAUACGGCGUUGCCCUAUGAAAUACUUGGAGAUCCGUAAUGUAAAUCUUGUCUCCUUUACAUUUAGGGGAUCAACGACAAACUUGGUUCUCGAGAAUGUUUCUUCAGUUCUUAAUAUUGAUUUUAGUAUUAUCACGUGUGGAUUGCUAUAUAAACUUGCUCCCAAGAUUACAGCAAAUUUCACCCAAUUGGUGAUGCUCACACUUGAAGGUUUUCAUGAAACAACAGCAAGCAAUUUCCCCCCUCCUUAGAGAACAGCUUGUUUGGGCCUCAGACAUCAUUGUCUUACAACAGUUCUGUCGCCUUGAUUUUCGUUAUUCUCUAUCCGUCAUUUUAAUGGUUCUUUUCCAACAUUCAACAAUCUCAAACGGCUUAUGUUAAGACUCUAUUACGUGGCUGGUUAUUCUCUACUUGAAAGUACUCCACUUCUAGAGGCAGCUCCAUAUCUGCAAAAAUUUACAAUCGAGCUUCGUAGGUCUAAUAUCAAGUAUGUAUUCGACGGAGAGAUUCGUAGGAAGACUCCGAAAUCUCCACAUCAACAUCUCAGUGAAGUUCAAUGUAGAGGUUAUUUUGGAGAUAUAAAUGAUGUGGAACUUGCAAUGUACUUUUUUGAAAAUACAUUAGCACUCGAGAAAUUCAUUGUUGAUCCUUGCGUGGAGUUGCAACAUAACUGUGAAGGCACUCAGAGAGCGAGAGAUCGGGCUAUGCUGCAACUUCAACCAAAAGUUCCUCAAGGAGUCAAGCUGAUCAUUAUUUAAUUACCCUUUUUUUUUAUGACAACAAAUGCCAAUUCGGCCCUACAGUUGUCAUUAUUUGAUCUUUUCGCAGUGGUAUGUCUUUUAUUGGGAAUCUUUCAAAAAUAGCCAUAUUUUAAUGAAAAACUCUCCCUUCAUAA
Long non-coding RNA from Capsicum annuum, 1129 nucleotides. RefSeq lists it as uncharacterized. The record is from RefSeq and is a predicted model, not a curated record. NCBI's taxonomy places the organism in Eukaryota, Viridiplantae, Streptophyta, Magnoliopsida, Solanales, Solanaceae. The transcript is spliced from 3 exons.